CGUCAGAGAGUAUAUAUAAAGAGAGUUGAGUUAUAAUACAUAUUAUUUAUAAAUAUAUAGUAAUUUAUUUUAUAGUAUUAAAUAUAUACUAUUAUAUAUUAUAUUAUAUACUUAAUUAAUAUAUAAUAUAUUUUUAUCCCUCAAAAAAAUAUAUAAUAUAUUUUAUUUAUAAAUAUAAACUUUUUUUUGAGAAAUUUUUAUAAAUACAAACUAUAAUACUAAUAUAGGUAAUAUGAUAACCCCUUAUUAUAGGGAUAAUUUCAUAGAUGCCCUUUCAGAAACUAUUAAUUUCAUCAAUGCCCUUCUAAAAUCGAUAAUUUCAUGAAUGCCGUCCAAUAUAUCAAAAAUUAUCAUAUAUGCCCUUCACUAGUUAAGUUCUGUCAAAGUCCCUUUAAAAUGGAGUUAUAUUUUUAAAAUACCAUUUUUACCCUUUAUCUCUCAUCAACCGUACAAAUACUAAUAGAUAUUUCAAGACAAUUUCUGUAAACCUAAAUUUAAUUAUUUAAUAUACUAAAUAUUAAAUUAAAUUAUUAAUAUAUAUUUAUUUUUAAAAUAUAUAUAUAUAUUGUAUUUUUUAUAUAUAGUAUGUUUUUAUGUGAUUUUAGUUUUGUUUUCGGCUUCGGAUUUCGGUUCAGGUUUGGUUUAGAUAUAAAUCAAAACCAUAACUGAGUUUGAAUAUAAUGUGAUUUAUUUUUUUUGUAAUUUUAACU
RNAcentral lists this long non-coding RNA (710 nucleotides) under Ananas comosus (pineapple). RNAcentral describes it as "long non-coding RNA (ACOM_LNC006121)". Lineage: Eukaryota; Viridiplantae; Streptophyta; Magnoliopsida; Poales; Bromeliaceae. The record is from RNAcentral.